Molecule: long non-coding RNA, 2947 nt
Organism: Capsella rubella
Lineage: Eukaryota; Viridiplantae; Streptophyta; Magnoliopsida; Brassicales; Brassicaceae
Exons: 7
Source: RefSeq, a predicted model, not a curated record
GUUUUCUCAUUAAUUUAUACUUUUUUUUUUGAGUUUUUUUCCUUUUUCGCUCUCGUUUUUUCUUGUUUCAUUGGAGCGCUUCAGAGUUUUGUUAUCGAAGGCUAUCAUCAUCGGAGUUUUGGUAAAGGCUAUCAUCAUCGUCAUCGUCAUCGGUUUCUAUCUAACUCUGUCGAUGAUUGACGCUAUGCCCACACCAUCACUGAGGUAUUUCUUUAAAAACUUUAAUUAUUUGUUUGAAAGUUUUUAAUUUUGACUAAAAAACCCAGAAAAAAGGGACGACAACACAUAUAAUUGUUGUAUGCCUGGUUCUAACUUGGGGAAACUGUUCUGUAUCAUCUACAAUGUCUAACGCAAGCAGACAAAGAUCUAUCUUGAAGUGGUCUCUGAAUCAAGUAAGCCUUGUCUAGUUAUGUAUCCAAGAUUAAUGAAUUCAAUAUCUUGGAUCAAACUUGGCAAGCAUGACCAGAUAAAACUUCAUUAUAUAUCUCACGUAUGUAAGACUUGUCUUUUGAUAUUAUUGAAAACCCAAAAGAAAGGGACGUCAACAUAUGUGCUUGUUGUAUGUCCGGUUUCUAACUUGGGGAAAUUGUCCGAUAUAACACAAGCAGACAAAGAGAUAUAUUUUGAAGUGAUCUUUAAAUUAAGUAAGACUUGUCAAGUUAUGUAACCAAGAUUCAUGAAUUCAGUAUCUUGGAUCAAACUUGGCAAGCAUGAUCAGAUAAAACUUCACUAUAUAUCUCACAUAUGUAAGACUUGUCUUUUCAUUUUAUUGAAAACCCAAGAGAUAGGGACGGCAACACAUAUGAUUGUUGUAUCUCCGGUUUCUAACUUGGGGAAAUUGUCACGUCUAUAAUGUUGCCUAACACAAGCAAACAAAGAUAUAUCUUGAAGUGGUUUCUAAAUCAAGUAAGACUUGUCAAAUAUGUAUCCAAGAUUCAUGAUAUCAAUAUCUUGGAUCAAACUUGGCAAGCAUGAUCACAUAAAACUUCAUUAUAUAUCUUGCAUAUAUGCCUUUAAGGUAAUUCAAGUUGUCUGCUGAGACUUUAUAUCUAGCUGAGCUGGGAUAGCAUAUGGUAUUCAAUGUUCUGCAUAUGUUCUUGGAGGAAAAAAAUGAAAUGUCCUUUAUUAAGGCUUCAAUGAUCUGCUUAAUCUAAUGAUUGGAGACAUGGAUUCAAUAAUCUGCUUAAAGAUAAGAAUGAUAAUGUUCAAUGAUCUGCAUAUUGAUUAGAGGAGAAAUGUAUUUCAAUGUUCAAUGAUCUGCUAAAAGCUGAGCUGGGACAGCAUAAGAUAUAAUCUGCUUAUUGAUUAAAGGAGAAAUGUCUUUUUAAGGAGACUUGUCUAAUGAUGGUGUUACAGAGAUUGGCAAAAUUCAAUUUUCUGCCUAAGUAUAAGAGUAUAUCUAGCUGAGCUGGGACAGCAUGAUGUAAAAUAAUAUUCAAUGUUCUGCAUGGGAUGGAGGAGGGGAAAAAAUUCAGUCUUCUGCUGAAAGAUAAAAUGCUAAUGUUCAAGGAUCUGCAUAUUGACUGGAGGAGAAAUGGAUUUUUAAGGAGGCUUGGCAAAAUUCAAUGAAACUAUAUGUAGCUGAGCUGGGACAGCAUGAUGUAAUAAUAUUCAAUGUUCUGCAUGGGAUGGAGGAGGGAAAAAAAAUUCAGUCUUCUGCUGAAAGAUAAAUGUUAAUGUUCAAUGAUCUGCAUAUUGACUUGAGGAGAAAUGUUUUAUAAGGAGGCUUGUCUAAUGAUGGUGUUACAGAGAUUGGCGAAAUUCAAUGAAACUCGAUAUCUAGCUGAGCUGGGACAGCAUGAUGUAAUAAUAUUCAAUGUUCUGCAUGGGAUGGAGGAGGGGAAAAAAUUCAGUCUUCUGCUGAAAGAUAAAAUGCUAAUGUUCAAUGAUCUGCAUAUUGAUUGGAGGAGAAACAAAUUGUUAAGGAGGCUUAUCUAAAGAUAUAUUGGGUGUCCAAUGAUUUGCUGAAAUCUAUGUCUAGCUGAGCCUGGACAGCAUAUGAUAUAGUAAUAUACUCAAUGAUCUGCAUAUUGAUGGAGGAGAAAUGGCUUCUUAAGAAGGCAUGUUUAAUGAUAUAUUAAGAAAUUGUCCAAUGAUCUGCUGAAAUCUAUGUCUAGCUGAGCCUGGACAGCAUAUGAUAUUGUCCCGUAUGUCUACAAUACUAGUAAGUUCAUUUUUCCGAAACCGAAGGUAAGUUUAUUUCUCUUUUGUUCAUAUUUCUAGCAAAAGUUAGGUAAGUGAAGAACUAACCGACUUAUUGUAAUAUGUACUAAUCACAUCUUUCUGUUGACCUUUUCUUAACAGGGGAAUUGAGUUUCUGCAGGAAGUCAGUUUAGGGUUCAUAUUCUUUUCCGAUUUGAUCAGGUAAAGACUGAUAACUGUUUUGCAAUGAGUUAUUAGUUAGCUUGUCCUUUUAGAUUUGUGUCUCAGGAUAAGGUGAACAAGUUUGGUGCUCUCUUCACAUCUAUACUUUGACUUAUAAGAGAUUAAAAAAAAAAAAAAGCUAUGGUUUCUCAGGAUAAGGUGAAACAAGUUUGGUGUUCUCUUCAACACUAUUGGCGAGCAAGAAAAUAACUUUGGUUUCUCAGGUUUGAGUUAGUCGUUUCUUGCUUUGAGAAAGCCAACAAGAAAUGUAAUGAGUAGAGCACGAGGAAACCAAGUUAUUGCAGGAAUGGAGUUUUUGAGGAUUGAUUACAUGGUUCCCGCUUUUUAAUCAGGUCAGUGUAUUCUUAUUUAAACCAAAUUAUUUUAGUAGCAAUGAGUUCGUCCAAAGAUCGCUUGGUUAAGACUAACGUUAAAACUUCAAUUGAACUACUAACUCAUUAAAGCAAAUAUUAAUCAUGAACGCAAACACACACACUAAACGCAAACACCUCCAAACACAAACACAAACACACACGUGAUGCUAACAAAAACAUGAACGUGAACGCAGAGGGUAAACGUAAAC